This 253-nucleotide ribosomal RNA is filed under the name uncultured bacterium. RNAcentral describes it as "partial 16S ribosomal RNA". It matches the Rfam family "Bacterial small subunit ribosomal RNA", at positions 524 to 776 of the family's 1533-position model. The record is from RNAcentral.
UACGAAGGGUGCAAACGUUGCUCGGAAUCACUGGGCGUAAAGCGCACGUAGGCGGAUCUUUAAGUCAGGGGUGAAAUCCCAAGGCUCAACCUUGGAACUGCCUUUGAUACUGGGGAUCUCGAGUCCGGAAGAGGUGAGUGGAACUGCGAGUGUAGAGGUGAAAUUCGUAGAUAUUCGCAAGAACACCAGUGGCGAAGGCGGCUCACUGGUCCGGUACUGACGCUGAGGUGCGAAAGCGUGGGGAGCAAACAGG